This 1335-nucleotide ribosomal RNA is filed under the name uncultured fungus. RNAcentral's name for it is "eukaryotic LSU rRNA". The stretch from base 634 to 1335 matches the Rfam family "Eukaryotic large subunit ribosomal RNA", at positions 1 to 667 of the family's 3401-position model. The record is from RNAcentral. Lineage: Eukaryota; Fungi.
CUUGGUCAUUUAGAGGAAGUAAAAGUCGUAACAAGGUUUCCGUAGGUGAACCUGCGGAAGGAUCAUUAUUGAAUCCAAAGGAUGUUGCUGGUACUUGUAAAAAAAGUGCAUGUGCACUCCGCCUUUCAAACCCACCUGUGCACUCAUUGUAGGCUCAGAUUAAGUUCUGAGUCUAUGCUUUUUCAUACACACUUAUAAAAUUUAUGGAAUGUCCUUGGGCUUUCAUUGCCUAAAAAAAAUUAAUACAACUUUCAACAACGGAUCUCUUGGUUCUCGCAUCGAUGAAGAACGCAGCGAAUUGCGAUAUGUAAUGUGAAUUGCAGAAUUCAGUGAAUCAUCGAAUCUUUGAACGCACCUUGCGCCUUUUGGUAUUCCGAAGGGCAUGCCUGUUUGAGUGUCAUUAAUAUCUCAANCCUCAAAAAGACCUUUUGUGUUUCUUUUGAGGCUUUGGAUGUUGGAAGGUUUAUGCUGGUUGACAAAACUGGCUCCUCUUAAAUACAUUAGCGGAACUNGAUGGGGAUCGGCUUUUGGUUUGAUAAUUCUAUCUAUGCCAUCCCUGAAAAGCCNAAAAGUGGUUCUGCCUUCUACCUGUCCCUAAGGGACUGUCCUUAUGUACACCUUGGUUUUGAACUUGACCUCCAAWUCAGGUAGGACUACNCCGCUGAACUUAGCWUAUNCAAUAAGNCGGAGGAAAGAAACUAACAGGGAUUCCCCUAAGUAACUGCGAGUGAAGAGGAAGAGCUCAAAUUUGAAAUCUGNCGGUUCUUUGCAGCCGUCCGAGUUGUAGUUUAGAGAAGUGCUAUCCGCGCUAGACUGUGCCAAAAGUUUCUUGGAAAAUGAACAUCAUAGAGGGGUGACAAUCCCGUCCUUGGCACAGAUUCUAGGGCUUUUGUGAUGCGCUCUCGACGAGUCGAGUUGUUUGGGAAUGCAGCUCUAAAUGGGUGGUAAAUUCCAUCUAAAGCUAAAUAUUGGCGAGAAACCGAUAGCGAACAAGUACCGUGAGGGAAAGAUGAAAAGAACUUUGAAAAGAGAGUUAAACAGUACGUGAAAUUGUUGAAAGGGAAACGCUUGAAGUCAGUCGUGUCUUUCAGAGAUCAAGUCAACCUUGUUGGCCGUACUCUCUGGUUUGACAGGUCAGCAUCAAUUUUGACCGCUGGAUAAAGGCCUUUGGGAAUGUGGCAUCCUCGGAUGCGUUAUAGACCAGGGUUCGGAUACAGUGGUUGGGAUUGAGGAACUCAGUGUGCCUUCAAUGGCUGGGGCAUAUUCUGCUCACACCUUUGCAUGCUUAGGAUGCUGGCAUAAUGGCUUUAAUCGACCCGUCUUGAAACACGGACC